RNAcentral lists this ribosomal RNA (1008 nucleotides) under Triticum aestivum (bread wheat). RNAcentral's name for it is "partial small subunit ribosomal RNA". Lineage: Eukaryota; Viridiplantae; Streptophyta; Magnoliopsida; Poales; Poaceae. The record is from RNAcentral.
AUGGAGUGUCCUUUGCCAUUUGGGGGAAAGGUUGUCGUCUUUGGUGGGGAUUUUCGGCAAGUCCUUCCUGUUGUCACACGUGGGACAAGAGCACAGAUCACGGAUGCUACACUCCUGAGAUCCUAUUUGUGGGAGAAGACCCGCAAGAUACACCUCACGCGCAAUAUGCGGGCACAGGCUGAUCCUUGGUUCUCUGAAUACCUCCUAAGGAUCGGUAAUGGAACAGAAGAGACAAUAGGCGACGACUAUGUGCGUCUCCCUGACAACAUUGUGAUUGGCUAUACCGAUGAUGAAAAAGCUAUUAACAAGCUCACUGAAGAUGUAUUUCCAUCGCUGCAUGCUAAUGCUAGAUCAAGAGAGUACAUGAGCGCACGUGCAAUUCUAUCGACCAAGAACGAUCAUGUGGAUGACCUCAAUGACAAGAUGAUCUCUAGGUUUCCAGGCGAAGAAAAGUUAUACCAUAGCUUUGACUCAAUCGAGGAUGACUUGCAGAAUAAUUACACAAUUGAUUUUCUGAACUCGAUCACACCAAAUGGUUUGCCACCGCAUGUUUUGAGAUUAAAGGUCAACUGUCCAGUCAUUCUGCUCCGGAACCUCGACCCUCAUAAUGGUCUAUGCAACGGAACACGGCUUAUGAUUAGAGACUUCCAGGAUAAUGCAAUUGAUGCGGAGAUUGUUGGUGGUCAGCAUGCUGGAAAGAGGGUGUUCAUACCUAGGAUCCCUAUGUCGCCCUCAGAGGACAGCUCGCUUCCCUUCAAACUUAAGAGAAAGCAGUUCCCCAUCCGCCUGAGUUUUGCGAUGACAAUUAACAAGGCACAGGGUCAGACCAUCCCAAACGUCGGUAUUUACCUUCCCGAGCCUGUAUUCUCACAUGGUCAACUAUAUGUUGCAUUGUCGAGGGGAGUGUCAAGAGAGACGACACGGAUUUUGGCCAAGCCAAACAAGGAGGUUGACAAAUCCGGGAAAAGUACCAAGAACAUUGUCUACAGAGAUGUUUUAGAGAGAUGA